AGCGGGGUGGGGAAGCCAGGUUAUCCCGCCGGGCUCAUAACCCGGAGGUCCCUGGUUCAAAUCCAGGCCCCGCUA
Molecule: transfer RNA, 75 nt
Filed under: Nitrososphaerota archaeon
Lineage: Archaea; Thermoproteati; Nitrososphaerota
Description: Thaumarchaeota archaeon tRNA-Met
Rfam family: tRNA
About the family: Transfer RNA (tRNA) molecules are approximately 80 nucleotides in length. Their secondary structure includes four short double-helical elements and three loops (D, anti-codon, and T loops). Further hydrogen bonds mediate the characteristic L-shaped molecular structure. tRNAs have two regions of fundamental functional importance: the anti-codon, which is responsible for specific mRNA codon recognition, and the 3' end, to which the tRNAs corresponding amino acid is attached (by aminoacyl-tRNA synthetases). tRNAs cope with the degeneracy of the genetic code in two manners: having more than one tRNA (with a specific anti-codon) for a particular amino acid; and 'wobble' base-pairing, i.e. permitting non-standard base-pairing at the 3rd anti-codon position.
Source: RNAcentral